UAGUCCACGCCGUAAACGGUGGGCACUAGAUGUGGGGACUUUCAACGGUCUCUGCGUCGUAGCUAACGCAUUAAGUGCCCCGCCUGGGGAGUACGGCCGCAAGGCUAAAACUCAAAGGAAUUGACGGGGGCCCGCACAAGCGGCGGAGCAUGUUGCUUAAUUCGAGGCAACGCGAAGAACCUUACCUGGGUUUGACAUGUACGGAAAAGCUGCAGAGAUGUAGUGUCCUUCGGGGCCGUACACAGGUGGUGCAUGGUUGUCGUCAGCUCGUGUCGUGAGAUGUUGGGUUAAGUCCCGCAACGAGCGCAACCCUCGUCCUAUGUUGCCAGCAUUUAGUUGGGGACUCAUAGGAGACUGCCGGCGUCAAGUCGGAGGAAGGUGGGGACGACGUCAAAUCAUCAUGCCCCUUAUGUCCAGGGGCUGGCAAACAUGCUACAAUGGGCCGGUAUAAAGGGGCAGCGACAGGGGCAACC
RNAcentral lists this ribosomal RNA (473 nucleotides) under uncultured bacterium. Its description in RNAcentral is "bacterial SSU rRNA". It matches the Rfam family "Bacterial small subunit ribosomal RNA", at positions 791 to 1262 of the family's 1533-position model. The record is from RNAcentral.